UAACGCGUGAAGGCGAGCACUCUAGACGAACUGCCGUUGACAAAAACGGAGGAAGGUGGGGAUGACGUCAAAUCAUCAUGCCCCUUAUGUUCUGGGCUACACACGUGCUACAAUGGCCGGUACAGACGGACGCAAAGCCGCGAGGUGGAGCAAAUCCUAAAAAGCCGGUCUCAGUUCGGAUUGCAGGCUGCAAUUCGCCUGCAUGAAGUCGGAAUCGCUAGUAAUCGCAGGUCAGCAUACUGCGGUGAAUACGUUCCCGGGCCUU
Molecule: ribosomal RNA, 265 nt
Filed under: uncultured Bacillus sp.
Lineage: Bacteria; Bacillati; Bacillota; Bacilli; Caryophanales; Bacillaceae
Description: partial 16S ribosomal RNA
Rfam family: Bacterial small subunit ribosomal RNA
Source: RNAcentral